RNAcentral lists this unclassified non-coding RNA (354 nucleotides) under soil metagenome. RNAcentral's name for it is "partial contains 5.8S ribosomal RNA, internal transcribed spacer 2, and large subunit ribosomal RNA". The stretch from base 1 to 120 matches the Rfam family "5.8S ribosomal RNA", at positions 35 to 154 of the family's 154-position model. The record is from RNAcentral.
GAUGAAGAACGCAGCGAAAUGCGAUAAGUAAUGUGAAUUGCAGAAUUCAGUGAAUCAUCGAAUCUUUGAACGCACAUUGCGCCCGCCAGUAUUCUGGCGGGCAUGCCUGUUCGAGCGUCAUUUCAACCCUCAGGCCCCCAGUGCCUGGCGUUGGGGAUCGGCGCGGCGCCCUCCGGGGCGCUGCCGGCCCCGAAAUUCAGUGGCGGUCCCGCUGUAGCCCUCCUCCGCGUAGUAGCACAACCUCGCGGCCUGGAGCUCGGCGGUGGCCAUGCCGUAAAACACCCCACUUCUGAAAGUUGACCUCGGAUCAGGUAGGAAUACCCGCUGAACUUAAGCAUAUCAAUAAGCGGAGGA